AGAACGAACGCUGGCGGCAUGCCUAAUACAUGCAAGUCGAACGAACACUUCGGUGUUAGUGGCGCACGGGUGCGUAACGCGUGGGAAUCUGCCCUUGGGUUCGGAAUAACAGUUGGAAACGACUGCUAAUACCGGAUGAUAUCGAAAGAUCAAAGAUUUAUCGCCCAGGGAUGAGCCCGCGUAGGAUUAGCUAGUUGGUGAGGUAAAGGCUCACCAAGGCGACGAUCCUUAGCUGGUCUGAGAGGAUGAUCAGCCACACUGGGACUGAGACACGGCCCAGACUCCUACGGGAGGCAGCAGUAGGGAAUA
Molecule: ribosomal RNA, 309 nt
Filed under: uncultured soil bacterium
Lineage: Bacteria
Description: bacterial SSU rRNA
Rfam family: Bacterial small subunit ribosomal RNA
Source: RNAcentral